Molecule: non-coding RNA, 360 nt
Organism: Vicia faba (fava bean)
Lineage: Eukaryota; Viridiplantae; Streptophyta; Magnoliopsida; Fabales; Fabaceae
Source: the annotation of a GenBank genome assembly
AUGACUAUGCUCUUCUCAAGUUAUUCUUUCAGUACCUUUCUUCUAUGUUUCUCCCAAGCACUGCACAUCCGGGAUAUAAUCCGGACAGGACCCUUGGGCGGACAAGCUUAUGAUACCACCCGGACAGGCGCCCUCGAGGCUAUACUUACCCGGGGUCAUAGCUAUGUUACCACCUGGACAGGUGCCCUCGAGGCUAUAUUUACCCGGGGUCAUUGUCGGACAGAGCUAGCUCCUAGUGAAAAAGCCCUCGGAGGAGGGAAAUCCAAGCCCUUUUCGGCAAUGAUCAGUAUCUCACCGUUGCUCUCGUCGCCCCUAAAGAGUAUGUCAAGGCUGCAUAGUCAUGGAGCUCCGACUUCCUAA